UCCCUGGUGGCUCAGACAGUAAAGAGUCUGCCUGCAAUGCAGGAGAUCUGAGUUCAAGCCCUGGCUUGGGAA
RNAcentral lists this transfer RNA (72 nucleotides) under Capra hircus (goat). It matches the Rfam family "tRNA". Rfam says of the family: Transfer RNA (tRNA) molecules are approximately 80 nucleotides in length. Their secondary structure includes four short double-helical elements and three loops (D, anti-codon, and T loops). Lineage: Eukaryota; Metazoa; Chordata; Mammalia; Artiodactyla; Bovidae. RNAcentral also lists the same sequence under 1 other name. The record is from Rfam by way of RNAcentral.